RNAcentral lists this ribosomal RNA (421 nucleotides) under uncultured bacterium. RNAcentral describes it as "bacterial SSU rRNA". It matches the Rfam family "Bacterial small subunit ribosomal RNA", at positions 355 to 786 of the family's 1533-position model. The record is from RNAcentral.
UGGGGAAUAUUGCACAAUGGGGGAAACCCUGAUGCAGCGACGCCGCGUGAAGGAAGAAGUAUCUCAGUAUGUAAACUUCUAUCAGCAGGGAAGAAAAUGACGGUACCUGACUAAGAAGCCCCGGCUAACUACGUGCCAGCAGCCGCGGUAAUACGUAGGGGGCAAGGUGUUCAUGUCCGGAUUUAGCUGGAUGAGUAAAGGGAGCGUAGACGGAGCAGCAAGUCUGAUGUGAAAGGCAGGGGCUCAACCCCUGGACUGCAUUGGAAACUGUUGAUCUUGAGUACCGGAGGGGUAAGCGGAAUUCCUAGUGUAGCGGUGAAAUGCGUAGAUAUUAGGAGGAACACCAGUGGCGAAGGCGGCUUACUGGACGGUAACUGACGUUGAGGCUCGAAAGCGUGGGGAGCAAACAGGAUUAGAUACC